This 465-nucleotide ribosomal RNA is filed under the name uncultured bacterium. RNAcentral's name for it is "partial 16S ribosomal RNA". It matches the Rfam family "Bacterial small subunit ribosomal RNA", at positions 28 to 507 of the family's 1533-position model. The record is from RNAcentral.
GACGAACGCUGGCGGCGUGCUUAACACAUGCAAGUCGAACGGAAAGGCCCUGCUUGCAGGGUACUCGAGUGGCGAACGGGUGAGUAACACGUGGGUGAUCUGCCCUGCACUUCGGGAUAAGCCUGGGAAACUGGGUCUAAUAUCGGAUAGGAGCCAUUUUUAUUGUUAUGGUUGGAAAGUUUUUUCGGUGUAGGAUGAGCUCGCGGCCUAUCAGCUUGUUGGUGGGGUAAUGGCCUACCAAGGCGGCGACGGGUAGCCGGCCUGAGAGGGUGGACGGCCACAUUGGGACUGAGAUACGGCCCAGACUCCUACGGGAGGCAGCAGUGGGGAAUAUUGCACAAUGGGCGCAAGCCUGAUGCAGCGACGCCGCGGGGGGGAUGACGGCCUUCGGGUUGUAAACUCCUUUCGCUAGGGACGAAGCUUUUUGUGACGGUACCUAGAUAAGAAGCACCGGCUAACUACGUG